Molecule: ribosomal RNA, 555 nt
Filed under: uncultured Glomus
Lineage: Eukaryota; Fungi; Glomeromycota; Glomeromycetes; Glomerales; Glomeraceae
Description: eukaryotic LSU rRNA
Rfam family: 5.8S ribosomal RNA (bases 156-309)
Source: RNAcentral
GGAAGUAAAAGUCGUAACAAGGUUUCCGUAGGUGAACCUGCGGAAGGAUCAUUACUGAUUUAGCGAACCGAGCAUUAGCGAGGUUUUGCGAUCAAUUUAUAUUUAAAACCCACUCUUUAAUGUAUAAAAUUUGUAUUAAUGAUAAAUUAAAAGAUCACUUUCAACAACGGAUCUCUUGGCUCUCGCAUCGAUGAAGAACGUAGCGAAGUGCGAUAAGUAAUGUGAAUUGCAGUAUUCCGUGAAUCAUCGAAUCUUUGAACGCAUAUUGCACUUUCUGGUAUUCCGGAAAGUAUGCCUGUUUGAGGGUCAGUUAAAUAAAAAUCGGUGUUGUUGCUGCUUUCCUGGUGACCCGUCCGAAUUGAAUUGUCUUACCUUCGGUUAAGUGACUUAAAAUUUUGUAUGAUUUUCCAACGUAUUUAAAUUUAUUUGAACGUUUCAAAUCCAAUGGUUAUUAAGUUCGGUCAUCCUCCUGACUCCCGCCUAUUAUUUUUCAUUAAAUGACCUCCAAUCAGGGAAAAAUACCCGCUGAACUUAAGCAUAUCAAUAAGCGGAAGA